RNAcentral lists this ribosomal RNA (496 nucleotides) under uncultured bacterium. Its description in RNAcentral is "partial 16S ribosomal RNA". It matches the Rfam family "Bacterial small subunit ribosomal RNA", at positions 29 to 507 of the family's 1533-position model. The record is from RNAcentral.
AUGAACGCUGGCGGCGUGCCUAAUACAUGCAAGUCGAGCUAACAGACGAGGAGCUUGCUCCUCUGACGUUAGCGGCGGACGGGUGAGUAACACGUGGAUAACCUACCUAUAAGACUGGGAUAACUUCGGGAAACCGGAGCUAAUACCGGAUAAUAUAUUGAACCGCAUGGUUCAAUAGUGAAAGACGGUUUUGCUGUCACUUAUAGAUGGAUCCGCGCCGCAUUAGCUAGUUGGUAAGGUAACGGCUUACCAAGGCAACGAUGCGUAGCCGACCUGAGAGGGUGAUCGGCCACACUGGAACUGAGACACGGUCCAGACUCCUACGGGAGGAAGCAGUAGGGAAUCUUCCGCAAUGGGCGAAAGCCUGACGGAGCAACGCCGCGUGAGUGAUGAAGGUCUUCGGAUCGUAAAACUCUGUUAUUAGGGAAGAACAAAUGUGUAAGUAACUAUGCACGUCUUGACGGUACCUAAUCAGAAAGCCAGGGCUAGCUACGUG